UUACUGUUCGUGCGGCUGCGCCACUUGAUAUGCGAGUGUCGAUUGCCUGUUACAAACUGGGAAGCUGUGGGGAAUAUUAUGUUGUAGCCAAUCAGUUUGCGGUAGACAAAUCAACAGUAAAAAAGUUUGUGUGUAUGUUCUGAGGCAAAGGUGUCCUCGGUGAUCCGAGAUCUUAUCAAACUCCCAACGCUGGAGGAGGCCUGCGCCAUCGCACAGAGAUUUGAGAGGGUGUACCACACUCCGCAAAUCAUCGGAUGCGUGGACGGUGCACAUAUCCCUAUCCUGCCACCUACUGACGGAUACAGGGACUUUGUCAACCGCAAAGGCUGGCCUUCCAAUGUUCUUCAAGGGAUUGUUGAUGAUACCUAUUGUCUGACACAGCAUUUGGAAUAUCAGCUGCAAACUGCCUGGAAGUGCACAUGAUGCAAAUGUAGUGAGACAAUCGACUCUGUUUGAGAAGGCUCACCUACUCCCAAAGGGUGAAGAACAUACUGUACAGGGAGGCAGGUGAACUUUUUCGUUCUUGGCGACCUGGAGAGAGCCCUACCUCAACCUGGUGCACAAGCACAGAAUGCACCCAACGCCAAUGGUCAUGCUGCAAGGCAAGCCCUGACAGAGUACAUGGCAGCCAACUUCCCUCUCCGCAGGCGAGAAAUGUUAAACAAAUGACCUGAAAUGUCAAAGACUAAAUAGGACUUAGUAGUACUACAAGUCGGCCUACUACCACUACUGUAUUGAGCCAAAGCAAUCGUAUCAUAAUAUGUUGUGAAAUGUUUUGUUGAUGCAGAUAAGCUAAUAAAUAUUUGUUUAGAAUUUUAUUUUAAAGAUGCACAAAUGUUAUCAAGUUGCACAAAUGUUAUCAAGCACAGCAAUUUUGACUGCAACAUAUACUUUAAUUAACUAAAAAAUAUAUUUAUUUGAAAGAUUUUAUAUUUUCUAGGGCUAUCUUCUGUAUACCACCCCUACCUUGUCACAACACAGCUGAUUGGCUCAAACCAUUAAGAAGAAAAGAAAGUCCAGAAAUGAACUUUUAACAAGGCAC
RNAcentral lists this long non-coding RNA (1042 nucleotides) under Salmo salar (Atlantic salmon). RNAcentral's name for it is "lncRNA (ENSSSAG00000119091.1)". Lineage: Eukaryota; Metazoa; Chordata; Actinopteri; Salmoniformes; Salmonidae. The record is from RNAcentral.